GGACGGGUGGCGCAAUGGUAGCGCAUAUCUUUCCGGUCAAGCCUCCCAAACAUCGUUUGAAGGGGUCCCUGAUAGAUAAGGCUGCGGGUUCGAGUCCUGUCUCGUCCG
This 108-nucleotide transfer RNA is filed under the name Colletotrichum higginsianum. RNAcentral's name for it is "tRNA CH063_16354". It matches the Rfam family "tRNA". From Rfam's summary of the family: Transfer RNA (tRNA) molecules are approximately 80 nucleotides in length. Their secondary structure includes four short double-helical elements and three loops (D, anti-codon, and T loops). Lineage: Eukaryota; Fungi; Ascomycota; Sordariomycetes; Glomerellales; Glomerellaceae. RNAcentral also lists the same sequence under 1 other name. The record is from Rfam by way of RNAcentral.